AAUACAUUGAAAGUCUGAAAAUAUGCGCAAUGUGCAACACCUCUUGACUUCCUACCUCCUCAAAGAGGAUCAGCAGAGGAAGCUGUAAACUGAGAAAUUAGAACAGAAAAAGAAACUUUGGAGGUCAUUCAGUCCAAUUCAUUUUACAGAGGUCUGAGGGAACUUGCCCAAUUUCACUUGCGCAGAAUACCUCCUAGACUGGGAGUUAUUAAACAGAGUGGAUACCCAAGAUAAGGAGAUUGUGAGAGAACACAUAUCAGUUCCUGAUAAAUUCAGAUCACCUAUCCUAGAGGAACUGCAUAUUUGA
Molecule: long non-coding RNA, 307 nt
Filed under: Monodelphis domestica (gray short-tailed opossum)
Lineage: Eukaryota; Metazoa; Chordata; Mammalia; Didelphimorphia; Didelphidae
Description: lncRNA (ENSMODG00000039664.1)
Source: RNAcentral